UUGACCUCAAAUCGGACUUAAGCAUAUCAAUA
Molecule: ribosomal RNA, 32 nt
Filed under: Lactifluus persicinus
Lineage: Eukaryota; Fungi; Basidiomycota; Agaricomycetes; Russulales; Russulaceae
Description: partial 28S ribosomal RNA
Source: RNAcentral